RNAcentral lists this long non-coding RNA (644 nucleotides) under Equus caballus (horse). RNAcentral's name for it is "lncRNA (ENSECAG00000052356.1)". Lineage: Eukaryota; Metazoa; Chordata; Mammalia; Perissodactyla; Equidae. The record is from RNAcentral.
AUGCUUUCGGUGCACUUAUAGGCUCUGUGCUUUUCUGUGUUGAAGCCUGGAUCUCAGAGCUGAUGAAGGACAGUGUCCAGGGCCUCAGGUCCACUUUUUAAGGGCCAUGAUUCCACUUUGCUGCCCAAGACAUUGCCAUCCUACAAUGAAACUUACACAAUUGCUGCAAGACUCCUACAAAUUACUCCAGCUCUAAGUGACCAAAAGUUACCAUGGACCCAUUAUGUAAUGACAUGUUCCUUGAAUUCACAAGGAAGCACAAACUCAAAGAUGGAAGGUCCAAAGUCGGAAAGGGCAGGUGAGCUGAUCAAUGGGAGCGUCUUCACACCCGGCACAGAAAUUCUUCUUUCCUAACAAAUUCCACUGUUCAACUUGUUUCAAACUCCAGAAUGAGUAACUGCAUACGUUAAAAAGUGCAUUUAUAUCCAGAGGGGAGUGUUUGCAUAUAUGUUUUAGUUAAUAAAUAAAAAAGUAUCCUGACCUCUGAGAGUCACUCAAUAAAUCACAACUAUUAUUUACAUUUAUCAUCAUUAUCCUUAACUUUUCCACAUAUCCUUUAUUAGGGAACAGUUUGUUCUGCUACACUAUUGCUGCUAUGAGUCUUUCUUUCACGACAAAACAGACUCCUGAGUCUUUUUUAUUCA